GACGAACGCUGGCGGUGUGCUUAACACAUGCAAGUCGAACGGUAAGGCCCCUUUUGGGGGUACACGAGUGGCGAACGGGUGAGUAACACGUGAGUAACCUGCCCUCAUCUCUGGGAUAACAGUCGGAAACGGUUGCUAAUACAGGAUAUGAGCUUGCAAGGCAUCUUGUGGGUUGGAAAGAUUUUUUGGUUGGGGAUGGACUCGCGGCCUAUCAGCUUGUUGGUGAGGUAGUGGCUCACCAAGGCUUCGACGGGUAGCCGGCCUGAGAGGGCGACCGGCCACAUUGGGACUGAGAUACGGCCCAGACUCCUACGGGAGGCAGCAGUGGCGAAUAUUGCACAAUGGACGGAAGUCUGAUGCAGCAAACCGCCCGCGUGGCGGGGAUGACCGGGCCCUUUCGGGGUUGUAAAACCCGCUUUUCAAA
RNAcentral lists this ribosomal RNA (424 nucleotides) under Arachnia propionica. RNAcentral describes it as "bacterial SSU rRNA". It matches the Rfam family "Bacterial small subunit ribosomal RNA", at positions 28 to 441 of the family's 1533-position model. The record is from RNAcentral. Lineage: Bacteria; Bacillati; Actinomycetota; Actinomycetes; Propionibacteriales; Propionibacteriaceae.